RNAcentral lists this transfer RNA (67 nucleotides) under Geotria australis. Its description in RNAcentral is "tRNA-Met". Lineage: Eukaryota; Metazoa; Chordata; Hyperoartia; Petromyzontiformes; Geotriidae. The record is from RNAcentral.
AGUAAGAUAAGCUAAAAAAGCUUUUGGGCCCAUACCCCAAAUAUGAUGUUACUCACAUCUCUUACUA